GCGGGUGUAACUCAGUUGGUAGAGUAUCAGCUUCCCAAGUUGAAUGUCGCAGGUUCGAGCCCUGUCACCCGCUCCA
RNAcentral lists this transfer RNA (76 nucleotides) under Bacteroidota bacterium. RNAcentral's name for it is "Bacteroidetes bacterium tRNA-Gly". It matches the Rfam family "tRNA". Rfam says of the family: Transfer RNA (tRNA) molecules are approximately 80 nucleotides in length. Their secondary structure includes four short double-helical elements and three loops (D, anti-codon, and T loops). Further hydrogen bonds mediate the characteristic L-shaped molecular structure. tRNAs have two regions of fundamental functional importance: the anti-codon, which is responsible for specific mRNA codon recognition, and the 3' end, to which the tRNAs corresponding amino acid is attached (by aminoacyl-tRNA synthetases). tRNAs cope with the degeneracy of the genetic code in two manners: having more than one tRNA (with a specific anti-codon) for a particular amino acid; and 'wobble' base-pairing, i.e. permitting non-standard base-pairing at the 3rd anti-codon position. Lineage: Bacteria; Pseudomonadati; Bacteroidota. The record is from RNAcentral. RNAcentral also lists the same sequence under 2 other names.